AAUAUAUUUUGGGAUAAAAUCAUCUCUUAUUUUAUUCAAUGUAUUGCACUAUUUUAUAAUACAUGGUUCUCCCUUAACUUUAGGAGUUGUUACAAAUCAGAGCAUAUAAUUAGGAAAGAACAAUAACAGUAACAAAUCUAAUCUAGGCACAACAAAUUAGCAAUCAACAUUAAAUGUGAUAGCAAUCAACAUUAAAUGAGAGAUUUUCACGUUGAACCUUGAUACGUUGAACCUAGACCUUUAUUUUCCAACACUCCCCCU
This 261-nucleotide long non-coding RNA is filed under the name Vigna radiata. RNAcentral describes it as "long non-coding RNA (VRAD_LNC018524)". Lineage: Eukaryota; Viridiplantae; Streptophyta; Magnoliopsida; Fabales; Fabaceae. The record is from RNAcentral.